This is a non-coding RNA of Bos taurus (domestic cattle), 72 nucleotides long. NCBI's taxonomy places the organism in Eukaryota, Metazoa, Chordata, Mammalia, Artiodactyla, Bovidae. The record is from Rfam.
UCCCUAAUAGCUCAGUUGGUAGAGAAUCUGCCUGAAGUGCAGGAGAGCCCGGUUCAAUUCCUGGAUCAGGAA